GCCGGGCAUGUUGCCACAUGCCUGUAAUCCCAGCUACUCAGGAGGCUGAGGCAGGAGAAUCACUUGAAUCCAGGAGUCAGAGGUUGCAGUGAGCCGAGAUCACGCCACUGCACUCCAGCCUGGGCAACAGAGCGAGACUCUGUCUCAA
Molecule: unclassified non-coding RNA, 148 nt
Organism: Callithrix jacchus (white-tufted-ear marmoset)
Lineage: Eukaryota; Metazoa; Chordata; Mammalia; Primates; Cebidae
Rfam family: Metazoan signal recognition particle RNA
About the family: The signal recognition particle (SRP) is a universally conserved ribonucleoprotein.
Source: Ensembl